RNAcentral lists this ribosomal RNA (490 nucleotides) under uncultured bacterium. RNAcentral's name for it is "partial 16S ribosomal RNA". It matches the Rfam family "Bacterial small subunit ribosomal RNA", at positions 30 to 507 of the family's 1533-position model. The record is from RNAcentral.
AUUGAACGCUGGCGGCAGGCCUAGCACAUGCAAGUCGAACGGUAACAGGAAGAAGCUUGCUUCUUUGCUGACGAGUGGCGGACGGGUGAGUAAUGUCUGGGAAACUGCCUGAUGGAGGGGGAUAACUACUGGAAACGGUAGCUAAUACCGCAUAACGUCGCAAGACCAAAGAGGGGGACCUUCGGGCCUCUUGCCAUCGGAUGUGCCCAGAUGGGAUUAGCUAGUAGGUGGGGUAACGGCUCACCUAGGCGACGAUCCCUAGCUGGUCUGAGAGGAUGACCAGCCACACUGGAACUGAGACACGGUCCAGACUCCUACGGGAGGCAGCAGUGGGGAAUAUUGCACAAUGGGCGCAAGCCUGAUGCAGCCAUGCCGCGUGUAUGAAGAAGGCCUUCGGGUUGUAAAGUACUUUCAGCGGGGAGGAAGGGAGUAAAGUUAAUACCUUUACUCAUUGACGUUACCCGCAGAGGAAGCACCGGCUAACUCCGUG